This is a long non-coding RNA of Hyla sarda, 5522 nucleotides long. RefSeq lists it as uncharacterized. The transcript is spliced from 4 exons. Lineage: Eukaryota; Metazoa; Chordata; Amphibia; Anura; Hylidae. The record is from RefSeq and is a predicted model, not a curated record.
CCACAAACAGGAAGUUAAUAUCCCCAACCAUUCCCAUUUUAUUAAGGUGUAUCCAUAUAAAUUGCCCACCCUGUAUAUAUAUAUAUAUAUAUAUAUGUGUGUGUGUUAAUAUAAUUAAAAAAUAAUAAUAAUAAUAAUGUUAAUGCCUUGUACUCAAAUAUAAAAAAAAUAAUAAUCGCCCCUUAUCAUUUUGCACUCAAUACCCCAUAAUGACAAAGUGAAAAAAUGAUGUUAGAAAUAUUUGCCAAUUUAAAAUAUUGCUUGGACAUAAGUAUUUAGACCCUUUAAAUCAGAUCGCUUUUAAUAACAUUCCAGAAAAUAAAAUUGCAUACAUAAACAUAAAAAAAUCAUUUUGUCCAGUCUGAGGUUCGAGCACUCUGAAUUAGGUUUUAUUAAGAUUAUCUCAGUACUUUACCCCCAUUAAGAAGGACCUGUGUCGUUAAAUAGCUUUGUGUGCCUUGAUCAAACACUUUUUUACAGUUUCUUGAUAUGCCCUCCCAUUCCUGAGAUAUGUGGGGUUAUAGUUUAUGGCCGUGAACUUAAUUUAAAAAAAUAGGAGUGAAUAUGUGAUAGGCAGGAUUAUAGAGGCAUUGGGUGUAAAUGUCUUAACACCCAUUGACUGUAUAAUACCGCCCGUCACCUGAUAUUCCCUCAUAUUAUCAAGUAAGUUCAGGCCAAAAAGUUCAAUCUUUGUUUCAUCAGUCCAGAGAAUAGUGUUUCAAGUGUCUUUUCCUCAGGAUAGGCUUCUUUCUGGCCAUCUGCCAUAAAGCUCAGAUUAAAUUCGAAGGAUAUUCGAAGGUCAGCCAUAGUGACCAUUGGCUUCUUGAUCAUCUCUCUUACAUGGCUCUUCUCUUCCAAUUACUUAGAAAGAACCCUGGUUGUUCGAAUUCUUCAAUUAAAAAAAUUAUAGAGGCAUCUGUACUCUUGGGAACUUUAGUGCAGCAGAUUAUUAUCAUUUUUUUCUGCAGAUCCGUGCAUCUAUACAAUCCGGUCUCUGAGCUCUACAGGCAGUUCUUUCUAUCUCAUGGCUUGGUUUUUGCUCUGAUAUGUUGUCAACUGAGACCUUAUAUAAAUAAGAGCGUUCUUUCAAAAUCAUGUCUAAUUAAUUGAAUUUACUACAGGUGGACUCCAAUCAAGGUUAGAAAAAAACAUAGAUGGUCAAGAAAAGAAACAAAGAUGAUUAACCCCUUAAGGACUCAGCCCAUUUUGGCCUUAAGGACUCAGACAAUUACAUUUUUACGUUUUCAUUUUUUCCUCCUCGCCUUCUAAAAAUCAUAACUCUUUUAUAUUUUCAUCCACAGACUAGUAUGAGGGCUUGUUUUUUGUGUGACCAGUUGUCCUUUGUAAUGACAUCACUCAUUAUAUCAUAAAAUGAAUGGCGCAACCAAAAAACACUUUUUGUGGGGAAAUUAAAAAGAAAAACGCAAUUUUGCUAAUUUUGGAAGGUUUUGUUUUCACGCCGUACAAUUUAUGGUAAAAAUGACGUGUGUUCUUUAUUCUGAGGGUCAAUACGAUUAAAAUGAUACCCAUUAUUACAUACUUUUAUAUUAUUGUUGUGCUUAAAAAAAAAAUCACAAACUUUUAAACCAAAUUAGUACGUUUAUAAUCCCUUUAUUUUGAUGACCUAUAACUUUUUAAUUUUUCCGUAUAAGCGGUGGUGUGAGGGCUCAUUUUUUGCGCCAUGAUCUGUACUUUUUUUUGAUACCACAUUUGCAUAUAAAAAAAUUUUAAUACAUUUUUUAUAAUUUUUUUUUAUAAAAUGUAUUAAAAAAGUAGCAAUUUUGGACUUUUUUUUUUUUUUUUACGUUCACGCCGUUCACCGUACAGGAUCAUUAACAUUUUAUUUUAAUAGUUCGGACAUUUACGCAUGCGGCGAUACCAAAUAUGUCUAUAAAAUGUAUUUUUACGCUUUUUGGGGGUAAAAUAGGAAAAAACGGAUGUUUUACUUUUUUAUUGGGGGAGGAGAUUUUUCACUUUUUUUUUACUUUUACAUUUUUUUACAUUUUUUUUUACACUUGAAUAGUCCCCAUAGGGGACUAUUCAUAGCAAUACCAUGAUUGCUAAUACUGAUCUGUUCUAUGUAUAGAACAUAGAACAGAUCAGUGUUAUCGGCUAUCUUCUGUUCUGGUCUGCUCGAUCUUAGACCAGAGCAGAAGACGCCGGAAGCAGGAAGGUGAGGGGACCUCCGUGCGGCGUUCUGAAUGAUCGGAUCCCCGCAGCAGCGCUGCGGGCGAUCAUUCAUUUAAAUCGUGCACUGCUGCAGAUGCCGGGAUCUGUAUUGAUCCUGGCACCUGAGGGGUUAAUGGCGGACGCCCGCGAGAUCGCGGGCGUCGGCCAUUGCCGGUGGGUCCCUGGCUGCGAUCAGCAGCUGGGAUCAGCCGCGCAUGACACGGGCAUCGCUCCGAUGCCCGCGAUUAUGCACAGGACGUAAAUGUACGUCCCGGUGCGUUAAAUACCACCGCACCAGGACGUACAUUUACGUCCUGCGUCCUUAAGGGGUUAAAAUAAUUAUGAGCCCCCCAGAGCUAUAUUUAAGUUUCCUGGACACCUUAAGGGAACACAAUGGGGUUAGGUUUAGACCUAGCCCUAUGGGACGGAACACCAUCAAUUAGCAAAACAGCUUUACUUUUAAUAAUUGGUAAUGCUAUAGCAUAAGAGAUCAGCAGAAACACCCUCACUGUUUUUUUCUGUCCCUAUUUGGUCUGUACAGAUAUCUGGAUGGCUGGCCACUGUUGGGAGUGGCAGUUAACAUUGUCCCUCCACUAUGUGGCAUUAGUACAAGCGGCAAAGUAUUGAUUAUUGUUCAGCAGGAAAAUGAUGGGAGUAAUCAUGUGGAAAACAAGUAAAACUGUCUCUUCAAAUUCCUUCCUGCCACCGGCUGACAGUUUUUUACAUGCUAAAGAAAAACUUCAGGCACUAGAUGAGCCAGGACAAAACAGAAAAUAAAGCAGUGAUGACACAAACAAAGAUACGUGAAUGCGGAGGACUAUGUCAGAUUUGGUGGAUUGCGACGAUGACCAGCGUUUUUUUUUUAAAUGUCAAUGAAAGGGUUAAUGAGGGCUAAUGGGGGAGUGUUUUAUUAAAUAAAAAAUGUAUUUCAAUGUGUUGUGUCUUUUAUAAUUGAAUUUUCAGGCUUAGUAGUGGAAGGCAUCUAGAAGACAGAAUCCAUUACCAAGCCGGGGCUUGGCGGUCGCCGCCAAAACAGCUAGUGCUAACCCCCAAUUAUUACCCCGGUACCCACCGCCACAGGGGUUCCAGGAAGAGCCAGUACCAACAGGCCCGGAGCAUCAAAAAUGGCACUCCUGGGCCUAGGCGGUAACAGGCUGGUGUUAUUUAGGCUGGGGAGGGCCAGUAACAAUGGUCGCCCACCCUGGUAACGUCAGGCUGUUGCUGCUUGGUUGGUAUCUGGCUGAUACUGAAAAAAUGACGGAACCACAAACUUUUUAUUUAUUUAUUUACUUUAAAAAAAAAACGCAUAGGGUUCCCCCUAUUUUCAGUAUCACCCAGAUACCAACCAAGCAGCAACAGCCCGACGUUACCAGUUAACCUCGUUUAUUGAAAUAAAAAAAAAAUGCUGGUCAUUGUCGCAGUCCACCGAAUCUGACGUAGUCAUGCAGUGUGUUCCUAAACAGGGAGCCUCCAUUUGUUGCUAAACUACAACUCCCAUCAUGGUGGGCUGUAGUUAAGCAACAGCUGUAGUCUCCCAGUUUGGGAACACACUGCCAGAAAGGCUCUGUUCCCAUUAUGCAAAACGCAUAAUGUGAACAGAGAUCUGUCCCUCUGCCCUUGGACUACUAUUCCUAUCAUGGGACAGGCUGCUGAGGGAUUGCACUUGCACAUCCCCCUGCUGCAUGACUUUUAGAACUACUAUUCCCAUCAUGGACAGACUCUGCCCAUGAUGGGAGUUGUAGUCCAGGGACUGAGGUGCAGAUCGCAUUGGGUCAUUCUGCAGAGACCCACUGCGAUCCACAUUUAUUAACUGUAAAAGCAGGCGGUACAUGCGGCUACACUGCGCUGCCACCGGCUUCUAUAUACACUGUCAUAAUUCAUAAUCCCCGCCGCCGGGAGAGGGGAGCUCUGAUUGGUCAAUAGCUAUUCUCCAAUCAGAGCUCCCGUCUUCUGGCUCCGUCUUCUGGCUGAAUUAUGACAGUGUUUAUAGAAGCGGAGACGCAUGUGGAGACGCAUGUACCGCCGGCGUAAUGAAGAAAGCUGUGACCCUCCGUAUAGGGACACAGUUUUCUGCUUACAGCCCACUCCCUCUCACUCCAUCCCCGCUACCCUCCGUCAGGGGAAUGGGGACAGUUUCUCCGCACAUAUAGUUAAUAAAUACGGAUCGCAGCAGAUCUCCAGAGAAUGAUCUGCUGCGAUCCGCUUUUAAAUUAAAAAGCCGGCGGCAGAGGCGGCUCUAGACUGCGUAACUCAAACAUGAGGCCCCACAUCAUUUUCUGAAGACCCAUGGGGGGAAAUUUAUCAAAACUUGUGCAAAGUUAAAGUUGCCCAGUUGCUAUAGCAACCAAUCAGAUCACUUAUUUCAUUUUGAAGAGGCCUUGGUAAAAAUGAAAGAAGAAAUCUCAUUGGUUGCUAUGGACAACUUUUCCUCUAGACAAUUUUUGAUAAAUCUCCCCCAUGGUGAUCCAAUCGGCUAUGAGAUUGCUGUGCUGUCGCCGCAGCACAAAUCUCAAGUGUUGACGGGGCAGAUGUAAGAUCAGGGGCAUAACUAGUGUCCUAUGGACCCCAUGGCAAAUUCUGUCUAGUACACAGAGACUACAUUCACCAAUAUUACCAGUAUAAAAGUAGGAAUAUUAUCACCCUACAUAUUACCAUCAUAUUGUUACUGACCAAAUCCUGUAUACUGACACCAAUUUUACCAAUAAUACCAGUAUACAAGGAGGGAAAUUAUUACCAUUCAUAUUAUUACCAUCAUACUGUUACUGACCAAAUCCUGUAUACUGAAACCAAUAUUACUGAUAAUACAAGUACAAGAAAAUAAAAAUGGUCAGCACCUCCAGGCAAAAUGAAGCACAGGUGCUCACUGUUAGUUGUGUGUGUUAUCAGCAAUAAACAAAUAAUACUGCCACAUCAUGACCACGACUACCAUUGUGACUAACUCCAAUUGUUACUGUAUAAAAUUUACUAUAGAAAGACCAAUUCCCACAUACACUGACCAUAUAGUGGUAGAUACCAGAUGUACACAUUACUGUGACAUCACUGUGUAUUAUUCCUGUACUGUGACAUUAUUGUGUGUAUUAUCUCUGUACUGUGACAUCACUGUGUAUUAUCCCUGUACUGUGACAUCACUGUGUAUUGUCCCUGUACUGUGACAUCACUGUGUGUAUUAUCUCUGUACUGUGACAUCACUGUGUGUAUUAUUCCUGUACUGUGACAUUAAUGUGAGUAUUAUCCCUGUACUGUGACAUCACUGUGUAUAUUAUCUCUGUACCAUAACAUCACUGUGUGUUCUCCCUAGACUGCGACAUCACUGUGGAUACUUAAACUGCCCAGUGACAUCACCAUAUAUAUUA